This 66-nucleotide transfer RNA is filed under the name Olsenella uli. It matches the Rfam family "tRNA". Rfam says of the family: Transfer RNA (tRNA) molecules are approximately 80 nucleotides in length. Their secondary structure includes four short double-helical elements and three loops (D, anti-codon, and T loops). Further hydrogen bonds mediate the characteristic L-shaped molecular structure. tRNAs have two regions of fundamental functional importance: the anti-codon, which is responsible for specific mRNA codon recognition, and the 3' end, to which the tRNAs corresponding amino acid is attached (by aminoacyl-tRNA synthetases). tRNAs cope with the degeneracy of the genetic code in two manners: having more than one tRNA (with a specific anti-codon) for a particular amino acid; and 'wobble' base-pairing, i.e. permitting non-standard base-pairing at the 3rd anti-codon position. The record is from RNAcentral. Lineage: Bacteria; Bacillati; Actinomycetota; Coriobacteriia; Coriobacteriales; Atopobiaceae. RNAcentral also lists the same sequence under 1 other name.
UCGUUAGCUCAGUUGGUAGAGCAGGGGACUUUUAAUCCCAAGGUCGUGGGUUCGAGACCCACACGA